UCAUGUUUUCCUGGACCAGUUGAACAAACUCUAUUUCCUUUAGGUGUCGGAUGUGCUCAGGGAGAUACUCCGCAUGGAAGGCCGCUAAGAACUGCUCCCAAAUGAUUGAUGUAGGCAGGGUGGUCUGCUUGAGCUCCCACCAAUGUCCUGCUUUCCCUACCAGCAUGUAGGAAGCAAGGGCAGCUCUCUGCUCAUGAACUACUCCCAAGGUCUUGAAAGCUCUCUUAGUCUCCGCUAGCUAGUACUGGG
Molecule: long non-coding RNA, 249 nt
Filed under: Carica papaya (papaya)
Lineage: Eukaryota; Viridiplantae; Streptophyta; Magnoliopsida; Brassicales; Caricaceae
Description: long non-coding RNA (CPAP_LNC016323)
Source: RNAcentral